Molecule: long non-coding RNA, 2221 nt
Organism: Cylas formicarius (sweet potato weevil)
Lineage: Eukaryota; Metazoa; Arthropoda; Insecta; Coleoptera; Brentidae
Exons: 3
Source: RefSeq, a predicted model, not a curated record
AAGAUCCUGAUCGUAGACUGGAAUUUUGCGAGUGGUUUUCUGCUUGGUUAGAUAACCCCAAGCCACACACACCAAUAGUGACUCCCCAGCGAGAAACCAAGAUGGUGCUAACUAGUCAAAUGAAAAAAAAAUCAUCAUUCUCCAUUUGGGACGCAGACUCUCCCUCUGAUGGCAGCAGCAACUCUGAACAUCCACAACCACAAUCGUGUCGAAGCAAUCCAGUAGGAGGAGUUCUUCCAAUCCGACCCGAAGAAUCACAACCACCCAAAAGUAAAAAGACAUAUAUGCUAUGAAAUAUUUAGAUAUCUCAGACUGUAUAUUGACAUAAGCCCUGCAAUCUUUGCUUUUAGAUAUUAGUUGUAAGACCACUUCGAAAACACUCUUGAAAAUAUUGUACUGUGUACAUAAUUCAAGCAUUAAACGCAACGUAACGUAAAAAAAGAAAACGAUGAAAGCAGAACGAAGAAAUGGAAUUCAACUUAACUCUAAAGAGAUGGAUGGAAAUCUUCCUUGCAAGUGCCCCAUCAAGUUACGAUUUCAUUGAUCAUCUAGUGCCCUGGAGAUCUGGACAUUCGAGAAGUAACGUAUUUGGUAUUGUUGAAUGGAUACUUUUUGAAUUUGGUUAUUGUUCAGUAUUUUCAACCCACGCCAAUUUAUUGUGCAUAUGAUGUUGCACACCAUUGUCUCUUCCUUUGCCAAUUUCAUAUUAUAUAUUAUUAAAUUUUUACUGUUUUCGACGUCCAUGAAGGAAGCUCGACUAGUUCUAGGGAUGUCCUCUUGGUGUUACCCUACUCAGUUCAGGUAAUGGCACCCUACACUCGUAGUCGGAGCAGUCUUCUGCAGGAUUAGACGAAUUUUACGAGCGCUUGGAUCGCUGACGGACUCGUCAUUGCUACCAUUUUAACUGCGGGACUUCUUUGUAGAGCCUCGAUCGAAGGACUAAAAUUUCUUCUGUACGCAUCAUACUGCCGCAGUUCAGUUUUAUUUAAAUAGUCGUGUGCGAAUCUUGUACAAUUUCAAAAAGGCUACUGCUACUGCGUAAAUCUCAGCACUUACAAACAAAAGUAUACGGGCCACGUGUUGCGCAGGAAUGAAAAUAGGUCGGCGCGUGCUUGCUAAUUAAAGAGCACAAAUUCCUAGCGCCAUCUCUACAUUGCAACACACAAUAGAAUAAUUUUUACUUGGUGUGUCAUUAACGACCCCUUGGGCAUUAAUGGGUUAAUACCGUCUACCAUUCAUCAACGUGUGAUAAAUGUUCGUGAACUAACAGAAUUUUCUACAAGCGCAAGUAAAAAAGAUGAAAACAGAAUUAGGAAAUGGAACUCAACUUAACUCUAAAGAGGUGCACAGUUGUCAUGUGUCAAUAAAAUCUUUGCAAGUGCCCCAUCAAGUUACGAUUCCAGUAAUCCUCUAGUGCCCUGAAGAUCUGGACAUUCGAAAAGUAAAGUAUCUGGUAUUAUUGAAUUGAUACUCUUUGAAUUUGGUUAUUAUCGUUCAGCAUUUUCAACCCAUUGCAAUUCAUUGCGCGAAUGAUGUUGCGCAUUGCGCACCGAUGUCUGUUCCUUUGCCAAUUUCAUAUUAUAUAGUAUUAAUUUUUUACUAUUUUUUUCCUUUUUUUACUUCUGGGGAUGCCCUCUUGAUGUUACCCUACUCAGUUCAGGCAACGGCAUCCUGCACUCUUAGUCGGAGCAGUCUUCUGGAGGCAUGCGACCAAUUUUACAAGCGUUUGGAUCGCUGACGGACUCGUCAUUGCUGUCAUUUUAACUGCGGGAUUUCGUUAUAGAGUCUCGAUCAAAGGAUUAAAAUUUGUUCUGUACGCACCAGACUGCCGCAGUUCAGUUUCCUGCGAAUCUUGUACAAUUCUAAAAAGAAAAAGCAAAUGCAGAUAAGAAAACAAAUAGAGUGGAAAAGAGAAACGGUGUAAAAAAUGGUUGCUGGAAAGAAAUAUUCAGAACCUUUCGAUUCUAAAAGCAAUACACCUCUAAGCUUCGCAUUGCGUUCAAAUAUGAUCUGCACAACGCACGACAAAUCGGGAGGGCCUUUCUACAAAGCUGUGAAUAGAUACCCUACAGGGAAGUAGUAGGAUAACCAAUCUAUUAAAAUUACGGAGAAUAACAAUAGCAAAGAUCGACAACAAUGCAAAAAGACUUACCUAAACCACUUGUCUGCACUCUUGGAACGGACGAAAGAUCUAUUCGUAGUCAUGAAAAGUAUCUGAACG